GCCUAGAGCAGAGCUUCUCCCAGAUGGCUCCCACCACCCGGCAGAAUGUGUUCAACUUUGCCCAAGGCUACCUGGUGUCCCGCCCAGUGCAGACAGGUGCUCCCUGCUCUGAAAACACCCAGGGCAGCCUUGGAUGGUUGCAGGCAAACCUGGGCUCCUUCAGCUCCCUAGCCUCCUACAAUGAUCUUGUCAAACUGUAUCGAGAUUUCAAUGCUAUGGACACACUGAGCACCCUCAGCCCUGAACAAGUAGCAGGGUUCUUAGUGACAAGC
RNAcentral lists this long non-coding RNA (272 nucleotides) under Phascolarctos cinereus (koala). Its description in RNAcentral is "lncRNA (ENSPCIG00000021205.2)". Lineage: Eukaryota; Metazoa; Chordata; Mammalia; Diprotodontia; Phascolarctidae. The record is from RNAcentral.